Molecule: ribosomal RNA, 468 nt
Filed under: uncultured bacterium
Lineage: Bacteria
Description: partial 16S ribosomal RNA
Rfam family: Bacterial small subunit ribosomal RNA
Source: RNAcentral
GACGAACGCUGGCGGCGUGCUUAACACAUGCAAGUCGAACGGAAAGGCCCGGAUCUUGCGGGGCGCUCGAGAGGCGAAGGGGGGAGUAAAACGCGAGUAACCUGCACUUGACUGUGGGAUAACUCCAGGAAAAAGGGGCUAAAACAGGAUAGAAGAUCUUGAUGCACGGGGGGGGAUGGAAAGAUUCGGCGGUGGGGGAUGGAAUCGAGGCUUAUCAGCUUGUUGGGGGGGUAGGGGCUGCCCAGGGCUUUGACGGGUAGCCGGCCUGAGCGCUUGGCCGGCCACAUUGGGCCUGAGGUACGCCCCAGACUCCUACGGGAGGCAGCAGUGGGGAAUAUUGCGCAAUGGGCGCAAGCCUGAUGCAGCAACCCCGCGUGCGUAAUGACGGCCUUCGGGUUGUAAACCUCUUUCGCCUGUGACGAAGCCUGAGUGACGGUAAUGGGUAAGAAAGCACCGGCUAACUACGUG